CCUACGGGUGGCAGCAGUAGGGAAUAUUGCUCAAUGGGGGAAACCCUGAAGCAGCAAAGCCGCGUGGAGGAUGAAGGUUUUCGGAUUGUAAACUCCUUUUGUUAGAGAAGAUAAUGACGGUAUCUAAAGAAUAAGCACCGGAUAACUCCGUGCCAGCAGCCGCGGUAAUACGGAGGGUGCAAGCGUUAUUCGGAACCACUGGGCGUAAAGAGCGCGUAGGCGGGAUAGCAAGACAGCUGUGAAAUCCUAUGGCUUAACCAUAGAACUGCAUUGGAAACUGUGAGUCUAGAGUAUGAGAGAGUUAGGUGGAAUUCGUGGUGUAGUGGUAAAAUCCGUAGAGAUCAAGAAGAAUACUCAUUGCGAAGGCGACCUGCUAGAACAUAACUGACGCUGAGGCGCGAAAGCGUGGGGAGCAAACAGGAUUAGAUACCCGGGUAGUC
This 440-nucleotide ribosomal RNA is filed under the name uncultured bacterium. RNAcentral describes it as "partial 16S ribosomal RNA". It matches the Rfam family "Bacterial small subunit ribosomal RNA", at positions 338 to 795 of the family's 1533-position model. The record is from RNAcentral.